Molecule: ribosomal RNA, 600 nt
Filed under: Bacillus subtilis
Lineage: Bacteria; Bacillati; Bacillota; Bacilli; Caryophanales; Bacillaceae
Description: bacterial SSU rRNA
Rfam family: Bacterial small subunit ribosomal RNA
Source: RNAcentral
GUCAUUCUAGUUAUGUCAAGUCGAGCGGACAGAUGGGAGCUUGCUCCCUGAUGUUAGCGGCGGACGGGUGAGUAACACGUGGGUAACCUGCCUGUAAGACUGGGAUAACUCCGGGAAACCGGGGCUAAUACCGGAUGGUUGUUUGAACCGCAUGGUUCAAACAUAAAAGGUGGCUUCGGCUACCACUUACAGAUGGACCCGCGGCGCAUUAGCUAGUUGGUGAGGUAACGGCUCACCAAGGCAACGAUGCGUAGCCGACCUGAGAGGGUGAUCGGCCACACUGGGACUGAGACACGGCCCAGACUCCUACGGGAGGCAGCAGUAGGGAAUCUUCCGCAAUGGACGAAAGUCUGACGGAGCAACGCCGCGUGAGUGAUGAAGGUUUUCGGAUCGUAAAGCUCUGUUGUUAGGGAAGAACAAGUACCGUUCGAAUAGGGCGGUACCUUGACGGUACCUAACCAGAAAGCCACGGCUAACUACGUGCCAGCAGCCGCGGUAAUACGUAGGUGGCAAGCGUUGUCCGGAAUUAUUGGGCGUAAAGGGCUCGCAGGCGGUUUCUUAAGUCUGAUGUGAAAGCCCCCCCGGCUCAACCGGGGAGGG